CAGUCGCCGCGGUAAUACGUAGGUGGCAAGCGUUGUCCGGAUUUAUUGGGCGUAAAGCGAGCGCAGGCGGUUCCUUAAGUCUGAUGUGAAAGCCCCCGGCUCAACCGGGGAGGGUCAUUGGAAGCUGGGGAACUUGAGUGCAGAAGAGGAGAGUGGAAUUCCAUGUGUAGCGGUGAAAUGCGUAGAGAUGUGGAGGAACACCAGUGGCGAAGGCGACUCUCUGGUCUGUAACUGACGCUGAGGAGCGAAAGCGUGGGGAGCGAACAGGAUUAGAUACCCGGGUAGUCCCUGUCUCUUAUAA
Molecule: ribosomal RNA, 301 nt
Filed under: uncultured bacterium
Lineage: Bacteria
Description: partial 16S ribosomal RNA
Rfam family: Bacterial small subunit ribosomal RNA
Source: RNAcentral